Molecule: long non-coding RNA, 1140 nt
Filed under: Nicotiana benthamiana
Lineage: Eukaryota; Viridiplantae; Streptophyta; Magnoliopsida; Solanales; Solanaceae
Description: long non-coding RNA (NBEN_LNC018909)
Source: RNAcentral
GGGUAGUAUAGCUAUUUUGGGGGUAGAAGAGCAUCUUAGGGCUUUAUAGAAGGGUACUUUAGUGUAGAUAUUAGCACAAUAAAGGUAUUUACUUGUUGAGCAGGUCAAAAAUAAAGGGACCAAACUGAAAAUAGAAAAGGACUAAAAAAGAAAUCAAAUAAUCUAAUUUACCCCCGUCUUGUUGGCUAUAAAAGGGCAUAAAAUGCCUUGGGAAAAAGUUCUUCAAUUUUUCAGCCCAAAAAAAUCCCACCAAAAAGCUUUUCUUCUUUUACUAAAAUUCAGAUUAGAAAUCUGAAUUCGAAAUAGAAAAUACAUAAAAAAUUAAGAACAGAAAACCAAAAAAAAAAUCACUGUUUCAUAGCAUUUUCAGUCGACCUUCAAUUUCUGCCUUUGUGUUUUUCAGUUCUAUUCUAUAUUUGAGUGUUUGGGCAGCAUCAGGGGAAUUUGAGUUUGUUUGGUUAAAGCAUUGGUCGUCUAAACUCAACAGCUGAAGAAAUCUGCUAGUUUUUGGUAUAAUUUCAACAAUACUCGAGUGUGUUCCAACAGUUUGUGGUAGUUUGCUUGGUUGUGGCCUGAUUUCAAAGCUAUUCAUGGUUGUUUGAGCUAAGAUCUAGUUGUUGAUUUCUGUUCGUGUGGGCUGAUGCUAACUGACUUUGCUUCUUCUUAAUUCUGAAAUUCCACAUUCGCAACUACAGUGAUGUAACCACACUCUGACUGAAAUGCCAUUGUAUUGAUUAAUCUGUGUUCGUCUAGUUAAGUAUAUGAUGGUAAUUAUUCAGUUGAUGAGUAGUAAUGUACAUUUGACCUGUUGGAUUGGAUUUAUAAAUAGGACUAUUAAGUAGACUGAUUUAAUUGUAUUAAUUUGAGCCCUGAACUUGAGUUGAUUAGUUUGUUAACUUUGAGUGUUGGAGCUUCAGAAAGUACAAUUGAACUUUUAGCUAAGGAUUAAUUGUUGGGGGAAUUCAUACACGCUAUUCUGUUUGGAUCUCAGUGUAGAAGUGGCUCUGAUAACAUUAAAUUGAAUCUGUUUUGGAAUAUUUGCUCAUCUAAGAAUGCAUAUCAUCAAUGUGCUCAUACGUACAGUGUAAUGAAGCCACUAGUAGCAUAGUGAAUAAAAUAUGCGCAGAAUAGGAAUCAAUU